Rhincodon typus (whale shark) is the source of this 860-nucleotide long non-coding RNA. RefSeq lists it as uncharacterized. Lineage: Eukaryota; Metazoa; Chordata; Chondrichthyes; Orectolobiformes; Rhincodontidae. The record is from RefSeq and is a predicted model, not a curated record. The transcript is spliced from 3 exons.
UGUGUUGUGAGAACUGAAAUAAAACUAGACCAGAAGAGUAUGUACUGCACUGUCUAAUCAGUAUUUCAACCUCCGGUGUUUAACGUGGAUCUCUUGUGCCAGACUUUUCCAUAAGAGGAAACGUGUUCUCCACAUUCAGCUUGUCCAUACCCCUCAGGAUCUGUGUGUUCUAUCAAGGUGUCUCUUACUGGAUAAUACCACUGAUCAUCAUCACCUUCUUCACUGUUCUAAACUCCAGCAGACACAGACCUAGCCUGUCCAAAGUUUCCUCAUACGACAAUGCACCGAUUCCAGGGUGUUCUUCGAGGAAACCACCUCCAAAGGGAUUCAUAGUUAAGAGAUGAGAAAGAGUAGGCACCGAGGAGGAAUGGGAAUUGAACACUUGAGAUGUGCAGACAAAGGCAAGUGACAAUGCCGAAAAGAUUUGGUCAUUAAGCUUGAGGAACAACCUAAAUCGUUAUGGUGCUGAAAUUCUCUCUAUCACUUCACCACAAGGAACGGAACAGAACGCACAUACAGACACAGAGAGAACUGUUGAGAGCAAGUUGUCAUUUGAAGUUGAAGUUGCAUUCCCAUAAAUCACAACUUGAAGUGAAGUGCUAACACACUGUGGAGCUGCAGGAAGACAGCAGGCCAGACAGCAUCAGAAGAGCAGGAAAGUUGUUGUUUCAGGUCGGGACCCUUCUUCAGAAACGGCCCGAUGUUCCUCCAGCUCCACACUGUGUUAUCUCUGACUCCAGCAUCAGCAGUUCUUACUAUCUUUAAGUGAAGUGUAUCUUCUCUCGGAAUCAAAGUUAAAGCCAGAGUUUUGUUCCUUCAGACAUUUCUCACCAGAAAAUAAAAACCAACCUAAAAACCGA